Long non-coding RNA from Rhinopithecus roxellana (golden snub-nosed monkey), 725 nucleotides. RefSeq lists it as uncharacterized. NCBI's taxonomy places the organism in Eukaryota, Metazoa, Chordata, Mammalia, Primates, Cercopithecidae. The record is from RefSeq and is a predicted model, not a curated record. The transcript is spliced from 3 exons.
CCUGGCCCAGAGCAGCUGUGGUUGUGAUGCCCUCCAGCCCCGAAAUGGGCCAAGAUGGCAGAGGGCAGCCUCAGGCCUCUGCUUAGGCUGCCAUGGUGCCCUGGCACUCCUACUCCCAGGGGAGCAUCUGCCAGGCUGGAGCACACCAUGGGGCAAGGGAGUCAAUGGCCCAACACCCUCUAGAGGCCAGAAGGGGUGAACCUGAUGGAAGACAUUCACAGCCCCCCAACAGCGGGUGGAGGGAAUAAAUAAUGCCUCACUGGAAAGUGUAAGUCCUUGAGGUGUGUUCAUUCACUCUCUAUGAUGACCUUUUAGCUUAGGCUCUGCCAUCCUCCCUGUGUUACAGAUGGGCUAAGAAGAACGUUUCUCAUAAGGCCGUUGUGAGGAUCACAUGAGGUUUAUCCACCCCAUCCUGCUGAUGCAGCUCCCUAGCUGUGUUCUUCUAAGAAGCCUUCCCAGACUGGCAAAGGCAAGCACUGGGCCUUGUUGCAUCCCAGGCCUGGAAGACUGAACUGAACUGUAAACACCUCCCCAGCCAUGGGAGAAGGGCAGAGGGUACCAUGGGACCCUCCCACUUAUUGUAUAAGCAGAGGUAGUAAGGGCUGCCCCAGUGCUCAAGAGACAGACAGGCUUUCCUCCUUGGACCUGGUGGCCCAGCCUCAGGUGCUCGGCUCUGGGAUGUUCUCCGAGUGGGGAGCCUUGAAUCCUUCCUCACCUGCUGGAAU